This 313-nucleotide ribosomal RNA is filed under the name Adelobotrys praetexta. RNAcentral's name for it is "eukaryotic LSU rRNA". The record is from RNAcentral. Lineage: Eukaryota; Viridiplantae; Streptophyta; Magnoliopsida; Myrtales; Melastomataceae.
UCCCGCGAMCCAUCAAUUCUUUGAACGCAAGUUGCGCCCGAAGCCAUUCGGCCGAGGGCACGCCUGCCUGGGCGUCGUGAAUCCCCUUGCCCCUGGGCACCCCCGCACGAGCGUCGGCGGGAGUAUAUGCUCGGGCGCAGAAUGUGGCCUCCCGUGGGAUCGGCACGCACGGCGUGCCGAGGAGCGGUUGGCCGAAAAUCGAGCAUGGCGGUGACGGGCACCACGGCGUUCGGUGGAUCGAACGAGAUUGGCUGCGUCGUGGGCUCGGCAUGCUGCGGGCUCCGGACUUUGACAAAUCCCCGAGUGCGAUCCC